GCCGCGUGAGUGAAGAAGGCCUUCGGGUUGUAAAGCUCUUUUGUCAGGGAAGAAACACCGGCUCUAACACAGUCCGGGAAUGACGGUACCUGAAGAAUAAGCACCGGCUAACUACGUGCCAGCAGCCGCGGUAAUACGUAGGGUGCGAGCGUUAAUCGGAAUUACUGGGCGUAAAGCGUGCGCAGGCGGUUAUACAAGACAGGCGUGAAAUCCCCGGGCUUAACCUGGGAAUGGCGCCUGUGACUGUAUAGCUAGAGUGUGUCAGAGGGGGGUAGAAUUCCACGUGUAGCAGUGAAAUGCGUAGAUAUGUGGAGGAAUACCAAUGGCGAAGGCAGCCCCCUGGGAUAACACUGACGCUCAUGCACGAAAGCGUGGGGAGCAAACAGGAUUAGAUACCCUGGUAGUCCACGCCCUAAACGAUGCUGACUAGUUGUUCGGGAUUUACAUCCUGAGUAACGUAGCUAACGCGUGAAGUCAGCCGCCUGGGGAGUACGGUCGCAAGAUUAAAACUCAAAGGAAUUGACGGGGACCCGCACAAGCGGUGGAUGAUGUGGAUUAAUUCGAUGCAACGCGAAAAACCUUACCUACCCUUGACAUGUCACUAACGAAGUAGAGAUACAUU
This 622-nucleotide ribosomal RNA is filed under the name uncultured bacterium. Its description in RNAcentral is "bacterial SSU rRNA". It matches the Rfam family "Bacterial small subunit ribosomal RNA", at positions 396 to 1012 of the family's 1533-position model. The record is from RNAcentral.